Molecule: ribosomal RNA, 253 nt
Filed under: uncultured bacterium
Lineage: Bacteria
Description: partial 16S ribosomal RNA
Rfam family: Bacterial small subunit ribosomal RNA
Source: RNAcentral
UACGAAGGUCCCAAGCGUUAUCCGGAUUUAUUGGGUUUAAAGGGUGCGUAGGCGGGUUAUUAAGUCAGUGGUGAAAGCCUUCAGCUUAACUGAAGAGUUGCCAUUGAUACUGAUGAUCUUGAGUAUGAUUGAGGUGGGCGGAAUGUGUCAUGUAGCGGUGAAAUGCUUAGAUAUGACACAGAACACCGAUUGCGAAGGCAGCUCACUAAGUCAUAACUGACGCUGAUGCACGAAAGCGUGGGGAGCAAACAGG